Molecule: ribosomal RNA, 520 nt
Filed under: uncultured Glomus
Lineage: Eukaryota; Fungi; Glomeromycota; Glomeromycetes; Glomerales; Glomeraceae
Description: SSU rRNA
Rfam family: Eukaryotic small subunit ribosomal RNA
Source: RNAcentral
AGCAGCCGCGGUAAUUCCAGCUCCAAUAGCGUAUAUUAAAGUUGUUGCAGUUAAAAAGCUCGUAGUUGAAUUUCGGGGUUAGUAGGUUGGUCAUGCCUCCGGUAUGUACUGGUCUCACUGAUUCCUCCUUCCUUAUGAACCGUAAUGCCAUUAAUUUGGUGUUGCGGGGAAUUUGGACUGUUACUUUGAAAAAAUUAGAGUGUUUAAAGCAAGCUAACGCUUGAAUACAUUAGCAUGGAAUAAUGAAAUAGGACGUUCGAUCCUAUUUUGUUGGUUUCUAGGAUUGACGUAAUGAUUAAUAGGGAUAGUUGGGGGCAUUAGUAUUCAAUUGUCAGAGGUGAAAUUCUUGGAUUUAUUGAAGACUAACUACUGCGAAAGCAUUUGCCAAGGAUGUUUUCAUUAAUCAAGAACGAAAGUUAGGGAUCGAAGACGAUCAGAUACCGUCGUAGUCUUAACCAUAAACUAUGCCGACUAGGGAUCGGAUGAUGUUAUUUUUAAUGACUCAUUCGCGCUUACGGGA